UGAGUAACCUGCCCUUAACUCUGGGAUAAGCCUGGGAAACUGGGUCUAAUACCGGAUAUGACUCCUCAUCGCAUGGUGGGGGGUGGAAAGCUUUUUGUGGUUUUGGAUGGACUCGCGGCCUAUUAGCUUGUUGGUGAGGUAAUGGCUCACCAAGGCGACGACGGGUAGCCGGCCUGAGAGGGUGACCGGCCACACUGGGACUGAGACACGGCCCGGACUCCUACGGGAGGCAG
Molecule: ribosomal RNA, 233 nt
Filed under: uncultured bacterium
Lineage: Bacteria
Description: partial 16S ribosomal RNA
Rfam family: Bacterial small subunit ribosomal RNA
Source: RNAcentral